UCAUUUAAUAUAAGUCAAUGUUCAUUACUGUUAUGGUAUCAGAAGAAUUCUUCCUCCCACUGCCAUUAAUGGUGUUUUUCAUAUCUAAAAUUUCAAUUUUUCUACGUUUCAUCAUUUUUCUUUGAUGUUCUUUCUGCUUUCACUCUUUAUUCAUCAUAAUCAAAUCUCUGUUAUUUUUUCUUACAAACUCAAAGAGCAUAAUUUUCUUACAUGGAAAUCUCUGUUAAUUCCUCUUAUCAAGAAACACAAGGUCCUUGGAUUUCUUGAUGGUUCAUUACCAUUUCCACCGUAUAUGAUCAAUAACAUACCAAAUCCUGGUUAUGUGGCAUGGCAUGAUGAUGAUACAACAUUAGUUCUCUGGAUCCAAUCAUCAAUUUAUGACACUUUUAUAGCUUAUGUUGUUGGAGCUUAAUAUGCAAAAGAUCAUUGGGAAUCAAUUUAAUAAAGGAUCUAUCAUAUGAGAAGAUCACUUUACAAGGGACACAUAAAGAUGGAUUAUAUCUCAUGAAGUUUCUUAAGGAUCCUAAGUACUCAGCUCUCUCAAAUUUCUCUACAUCAGCUACAACCUGGCAUAGAAGACUUGCUCAUCCUUCAUUUCAAGUGCUGCAAAAAGUUUGUCAUACUUUAGAUUUAUCUCGUGUUACUAAGUCACCGCUUUUCUGUAAUGAAUGUUAGCUAGGUAGAUCUCAUAAACUUCCAUUUGGUUUGUCUUCUCAUAAAUCAAAUUCACCUUUAGAAUUACUUCAUAUGGAUAUUUGGGGACCAAGAUAGUGGAUGAUUUCUCAAGAUUUUACUGGAUUUAUCCCUUACAUGAAAAAAGGUCAAAUCCAUUUUUCUACACUUUAAAGCUAUGAUUGAAAAAUUACUCAAAUGUUCCAUUAUAACAAUUAGAACAAAUGGUAGUUGUGAGUUCUUAAAAACUUAAA
Long non-coding RNA from Papaver somniferum (opium poppy), 926 nucleotides. RefSeq lists it as uncharacterized. NCBI's taxonomy places the organism in Eukaryota, Viridiplantae, Streptophyta, Magnoliopsida, Ranunculales, Papaveraceae. The record is from RefSeq and is a predicted model, not a curated record. The transcript has 2 exons.